UUUGCAUUGCCAAAAGAGCAGCUGACCUCAGUGGUUGCCAGGCAACAUUGUCCACAUCCAAGCUGUCGCCCAGCGGCCUUGUGGCAUCUGCAAUGACUCAAGGCUGGGAAGCUUGGUGCAGCUCGGGCCAGGCACUGGAGCACAAGGCUAACAGGAUACGUGCAGCGUCCUGAGCACUAUUGGCCAAGAUCAGGCCUGAAGUGAACUCUUGUGGCUUGAAGAUUCCCGAGCAACAGCAGCCCCUUUUUGAGAAGUGGGAUAAUUUGUUUUUGGCAAAACACUGUUUCUUUUUUCGAGGGUGAGAAGAAAAAGAGUGUGGGAAAAGCUUUGGAAAUCUUGCAAGACCUCUUGGACACGGACUAUGUGUUACCAAACAUAUUUUUGACGAGUUAUGUGUUAACCAACCAAAAACAGACAGAUUGUCUUUCCCAUGUCGGCUUCAAAAUGCAGCAGGGUAAGUGCCAUUGCUGAACACCCUGAGAAGCUGCCGAACCCUGUCAUUUUCAAAAGCUUGUCAAAAAGCCCAGAGCACGAAAGGCCAGAACGGAGUUGCCUGUCCCUUUCUGCAGGAUGUGUGCAGCCUUCUGGGAGACAAAAAGGGAAAAAAAUGAACAAUACCAAAUCAAAGAGUUCCAGCUGUCAGUGAAGGGUGGUCCAGAAUAAAACUUUCAAAGGAGAAAGAUAUUCGUUUUUAAAGCAUAAUGAGUUCUCUUUGUCAUUGAAAAUUCAUCCAAAGACGUAUUUCAUGACUACUUUUGACAGGCAAUGAUCUGAAUAUUUGAUGUACAGAGAUAUUUCUCACCCUCCAAAAGCUCUUAAGUACUCCCUGAGGAAUUGGUGCCAUAAGCAGGUGGCACCUUUACUCUGAUGAUUACUUCCUUUAACUGCGUAGAAGGUCACAGUCUAUCUCUAUGAAGGAAAUCAGGGAAGGAACUCAACCCAAGCCUGCUUAUAUUCCACACAGCAUGGCCUGUGUCAAUCAAGAAGUCAGCAGAAACUAUGGAGAAUUCUGUCCAUCUGUCAGCAAGAUCAGAUAGCUUUUUAUGUUUCCCAGGCCCACCAGGCCAGAGGAUAACACUGUCCACAGUGGCCUUGGCCUUUUCCUACAUCAAUUAACAAUCGAGACAAUCCUUCACAGACGAAUCUGAUCUAGACAGUUCUUCUACCCAGAUUUGCCUCUCAGAUGAUUCCAGGAUGAAUUAAAUGGACAAUUACAGUUAACCAGAACAAAGAUGUGACUAUCACUCUGCAGAAGACUGUCUUUGCAGAAAUUGGAGACCUUCACAGAAAAUCACACUUGACACAUGUAGAGAUCAACAUUUGAAGGUGAGCCCAGCCAUGAUGGGUACAUCUGCAGAACAGCUCCUGCACCUAUAGCCCAGGGAACAUCAUGGAAGAGAGGAAGAAAGAUGGUAAAAGCCAGAAUAUCUGGAAGUCAUGGUCUCUUCUAGAAAUGGCAGCAUAAAAAAAUUUAAAAAUUGAAACAAAAAAUCCAGAACAACUGUCUCCUCCAGCAAGCAAGUUACCAAAGGAAAAAAUGCCAAGUUGAAGAAGAUGGCCCUGGCUCCCACCAUUGUGAAGAAAGAGGAGCCCAAAAAGGUGCUAAAUCCUUUGAUUGAGAAAAGCUUAAGAACUUCAGCACUGGGCAGGACAUCCAGUUCAAAAGAGGUCUCACUGGCUUCCUCAAAUAGCCCCACUAUCUCAGGCUGAAAUGGCAAAGGUCCAUCCUCUAAAGUGGCUCAGAGUACCUCCUGCCAUUAACCAGCUCCCCCAGGCCCAGGACUGGCAAACAGCUGCUUAAACUUACCCACAAGAACAGGCCAUAGACAAAGCAGGAGAAGUAAAGGCUCCUGGCGUAUGUUGAGAAGAAAGUUGCUGGCAAAUGGUACAUCCCAACUAAGAGACCUUUGAUCUUUGACCUCUACCUUUGAUCAAGGUCAAUACAGCACCACCUUACAGGAGAAAAAGAAGACUGAGCUGAUAGUAAUUGCCCAUGAUGUAGAUCUCAUUGAGCUGGUGGUCUUCCUGCCUGCCCUGUGUUGAAAGAUGACAGCUGCCUCAUGCUCCUGUGGACAAAUCCCUAACCAUUAGGGGCUGAGCCCCUCAAAUUGUGAGCCCCUCAAACUAUAAGCCCAAAUAAACUCUUUUCUCCUUAAAAAUUUUUUUUAAAAAAGAAAGAUGGAAGUCCCCUACUGUAUCAUCAAGGGAAAGGCCAGGGACAUCUGGCCCACAAGAAGACAUUCUCCACUGUUGUCUUCACGCAGGUUAAUUUGGAAGGCAAGGAUGCUCUGGGUAAGCUGGUGGAGGUAUUGGGAUCAAUUACAAUGACAGAUACAAGAGAUCCACCACCAGUGGGGAGGCAAUGUCCUGGGUCUUAAAUCUGUGCCUGUCAAACUGGAAAAGGCAAAAGCCCAAGAACUCAUCACUAAACUGGACUAUAUGUACACUACUAAGUUUUCUGUACAUGUAAUUACAAAAUUAUAUGCCAUAAAAAAUAAAAUCCAGAAUAGUGGCAUUAUCAGUAAGUAUGCUAAUGCAAAAGGAAUGGUUCUCACCCCUAGAUAUGCACCUAAAUCUUAAGUAUAUGUUAAGUAUACAGAAAUGUUAAAGUUAAAGGAACAAAUAUAUUCUAUAAAGCCACAAUUCAAAACAAGGUGACAUACAGUAUUAGUAUCAGACAGAAUUUACAUCAAGCAAAACAGUUUACUAAGAAUAAAUAGUGGACAUGAUGUAUUCACAAUAGAGCAAUCAUUAUGAGUUUAAUAGCUAUUCAAAUUUGCAUGUGUCCAGCCAAAACUACUCAAAAUAUAGAAAUCUUAAAUUAAAAUAAGGAGAUAAUAGCAGAUUAUGAAGAAAUUAGCGUAAUUACACCAGAAAUCGAGUUUAAGUCUAUAAAUCUCCAGGUAGAAGAGACUCUUUGAACAAUUACAUAGUGUAUAUCAAGAAACUGAGUAUCCUGAAUUUAUCUUAUUGCAAGUCCUGCAGCGAACAGAUACAGAACACGUUUUUGUUUUUGUUUUGUUUUGUUAACCCUUAUAACUUUGAAACGGCAAAUGAAUGUUCCUUGGAAUAUUUCUUUUAAACAUAUGUUUUCACCUUCUUUUCCCUGCAUUGCAUGUUCUAUGACUUAUGUCUUCCAUGUGUCUACUGACGAAUCAUCCACCGAGUCAGAGGAUGUCUGCUGUGGCUGUGAUUUGAGACUGAUGCAUCUCCUGGGACAAUCCCAACUUGACCUAUGUCUUCCUCUUCAGUGUUUGAGGAGUCAUUAGAUGCAGAUUAAGUCACCCUGAUGUGAAUUAAAUUUAAACUUGUGGCCCAGA
Mesocricetus auratus (golden hamster) is the source of this 3320-nucleotide long non-coding RNA. RefSeq lists it as uncharacterized. The record is from RefSeq and is a predicted model, not a curated record. The transcript has 4 exons. Lineage: Eukaryota; Metazoa; Chordata; Mammalia; Rodentia; Cricetidae.